Molecule: ribosomal RNA, 816 nt
Filed under: Virgibacillus salarius
Lineage: Bacteria; Bacillati; Bacillota; Bacilli; Caryophanales; Bacillaceae
Description: bacterial SSU rRNA
Rfam family: Bacterial small subunit ribosomal RNA
Source: RNAcentral
GGCUAUACAUGCAGUCGAGCGCGGGAAGCAGGCAGAUCCUCUUCGGAGGUGACGCCUGUGGAACGAGCGGCGGACGGGUGAGUAACACGUGGGCAACCUGCCUGUAAGACUGGGAUAACCCCGGGAAACCGGGGCUAAUACCGGAUAAUACUUUUCGUUGCAUAACGAGAAGUUGAAAGGCGGCUUUUAGCUGUCACUUACAGAUGGGCCCGCGGCGCAUUAGCUAGUUGGUAAGGUAACGGCUUACCAAGGCGACGAUGCGUAGCCGACCUGAGAGGGUGAUCGGCCACACUGGGACUGAGACACGGCCCAGACUCCUACGGGAGGCAGCAGUAGGGAAUCUUCCGCAAUGGACGAAAGUCUGACGGAGCAACGCCGCGUGAGUGAUGAAGGUUUUCGGAUCGUAAAACUCUGUUGUCAGGGAAGAACAAGUGCCGUUCGAAUAGGGCGGCACCUUGACGGUACCUGACCAGAAAGCCCCGGCUAACUACGUGCCAGCAGCCGCGGUAAUACGUAGGGGGCAAGCGUUGUCUGGAAUUAUUGGGCGUAAAGCGCGCGCAGGCGGUCCUUUAAGUCUGAUGUGAAAGCCCACGGCUUAACCGUGGAGGGCCAUUGGAAACUGGAGGACUUGAGUACAGAAGAGGAGAGUGGAAUUCCACGUGUAGCGGUGAAAUGCGUAGAGAUGUGGAGGAACACCAGUGGCGAAGGCGACUCUCUGGUCUGUAACUGACGCUGAGGUGCGAAAGCGUGGGGAGCGAACAGGAUUAGAUACCCUGGUAGUCCACGCCGUAAACGAUGAGUGCUAGGUGUUAGGGG